RNAcentral lists this ribosomal RNA (499 nucleotides) under uncultured bacterium. Its description in RNAcentral is "partial 16S ribosomal RNA". It matches the Rfam family "Bacterial small subunit ribosomal RNA", at positions 899 to 1397 of the family's 1533-position model. The record is from RNAcentral.
ACUCAAAUGAAUUGACGGGGGCCCGCACAAGCGGUGGAGCAUGUGGUUUAAUUCGACGCAACGCGCAGAACCUUACCCAGACUUGACAUGCCUGGAAUCUCCCAGAGAUGGGGGAGUGCCCGCAAGGGAACCAGGACACAGGUGCUGCAUGGCUGUCGUCAGCUCGUGUCGUGAGAUGUUGGGUUAAGUCCCGCAACGAGCGCAACCCUCGCCUUUAGUUGCCAGCAUUCAGUUGGGCACUCUAGAGGGACUGCCGGUGUCAAGCCGGAGGAAGGUGGGGAUGACGUCAAGUCCUCAUGGCCUUUAUGUCUGGGGCUACACACGUGCUACAAUGGUCGGUACAGAGGGCUGCCUAAGCGCGAGCUGAAGCUAAUCCCAGAAAGCCGACCCCAGUUCGGAUCGAAGUCUGCAACUCGACUUCGUGAAGUCGGAAUCGCUAGUAAUCGCGGAUCAGAACGCCGCGGUGAAUACGUUCCCGGGCCUUGUACACACCGCCCGU